Molecule: ribosomal RNA, 634 nt
Filed under: Cryptococcus sp. CBS 8016
Lineage: Eukaryota; Fungi; Basidiomycota; Tremellomycetes; Tremellales; Cryptococcaceae
Description: eukaryotic LSU rRNA
Rfam family: Eukaryotic large subunit ribosomal RNA
Source: RNAcentral
UAAGCGGAGGAAAAGAAACUAACAAGGAUUCCCCUAGUAACGGCGAGUGAAGCGGGAUGAGCUCAAAUUUGUAAUCUGGUGGACUCAGUUCAUCCGAGUUGUAAUCUAUAGAAAAGUUUUCCGCGCCGGACCGUGUCUAAGUCCCUUGGAACAGGGUGUCAGAGAGGGUGAGAAUCCCGUGCUUGAUAACCACCGGUGCUAUGUGAUACUUUUUCAACGAGUCGAGUUGUUUGGGAAUGCAGCUCAAAAUGGGUGGUAAAUUCCAUCUAAAGCUAAAUAUUGGCGAGAGACCGAUAGCGAACAAGUACCGUGAGGGAAAGAUGAAAAGCACUUUGGAAAGAGAGUUAAACAGUACGUGAAAUUGUUAAAAGGGAAACGAUUGAAGAGUCGUGCUCUCUGGGACUCAGCCGGUUCUUCCGGUGUAUUUCCCAGUGAGCGGGUCAACAUCAGUUUAGAUCGCUGGAUAAGGUCAUUAGGAAUGUGGCUCCCUCGGGAGUGUUAUAGCCUAGUGUCGCAUACAGUGGUUUAGACUGAGGAACGCAGCUCGCCUUUAUGGCCGGGGUUCGCCCACGUCCGAGCUUAAUGUUGACAUAAUGGCUUUAAACGACCCCGUCUUGAAACACGGACCGGUCCG